RNAcentral lists this ribosomal RNA (253 nucleotides) under uncultured bacterium. RNAcentral's name for it is "partial 16S ribosomal RNA". It matches the Rfam family "Bacterial small subunit ribosomal RNA", at positions 524 to 776 of the family's 1533-position model. The record is from RNAcentral.
GACGAACCGUCCAAACGUUAUUCGGAAUCACUGGGCUUAAAGGGCGCGUAGGCGGGCUUGAAAGUCAGGGGUGAAAUCCCACGGCUCAACCGUGGAAGAGCCUUUGAUACUGCGGGUCUAGAGGGAUGUAGGGGCGUGCGGAACUUCCGGUGGAGCGGUGAAAUGCGUAGAUAUCGGAAGGAACACCGGUGGCGAAAGCGGCACGCUGGACAUCUACUGACGCUGAGGCGCGAAAGCCAGGGGAGCAAACGGG